CGUAGUAACAUCGAAUCGUAAGAAGUCAGCAGAGGUCAUAGUAAAGGGAAACCUUGAAGGAC
Firmicutes bacterium CAG:536 is the source of this 62-nucleotide non-coding RNA. The record is from Rfam. Lineage: Bacteria; Bacillati; Bacillota.